RNAcentral lists this unclassified non-coding RNA (226 nucleotides) under Hevea brasiliensis (rubber tree). Lineage: Eukaryota; Viridiplantae; Streptophyta; Magnoliopsida; Malpighiales; Euphorbiaceae. The record is from RNAcentral.
GGCAAAGCGCGUAAACGCAUCGGCGACGGUGAGCAGGUCCGGUUCGGCAAACGGGUCAGCGACCUUUCCCCUGAACGAGAACGUUCCGAUCCCGGUGGUUUGAGCGGCAUGCGCGAUAACAACCACGGUGUCGGCCAUCACCGCCUCAUAGCCUUCAUUGGCGCGAUACCAUUCCAGCAUCGUGAACUCCGGCAGAUGCAGCGGGCCGCGCUCGCGAUCCCGAAAC